GGGGAUGUAGCUCAGUGGGUAGAGUGCUUGCCUUGCAUGCACAAGGCCCUGGGUUCAAUCCCCAGCACCA
Molecule: transfer RNA, 70 nt
Filed under: Marmota marmota marmota (Alpine marmot)
Lineage: Eukaryota; Metazoa; Chordata; Mammalia; Rodentia; Sciuridae
Also listed under: 4 other names
Rfam family: tRNA
About the family: Transfer RNA (tRNA) molecules are approximately 80 nucleotides in length. Their secondary structure includes four short double-helical elements and three loops (D, anti-codon, and T loops).
Source: Rfam by way of RNAcentral